UCAACCCAAUUUUCUCUAGCUACAAAGUCCUAGCAUAUUAAUAUUUAGUCCUGGUAAGACAGACUACAUGGAAGGUUAGGUCUGAAUGUCCGCUGAAGCCUGGAGAUUGACAGUUAGAGAACUCAAACUCAAUGGCCCCAAUCCCUCUUUCUCUGUCCAUCUUCCAAGGUUCCAUUUCCAGCAUAUUUCUGGGUUUCCAACUCCCCAGAUUAAUCCAUGUCUCUUACACCCCUUAUGUUUCGGUCUCUAGUGCGGCUACUGACAUCGUUAAUCGCUGAGCCUGCAGCCUCCAUCGCAACCUUGCUAUAUUACAGUGAUCUUCUGCCCCAGAACAUCAUCUGGGAGGGAAUGGUUCGACAUGAAAUGUUAGACCAAGAAAAUUAUCUGUUCCAUUUUCUCAUCAACUUCUUGAGGUGUUUUUGGUAGACAUAUCGCUACUACUACCCACUCAACCUGCAAGCUAAGUUUUCAAGCGACUCCGAUACUCUUUGACCUAUUUAUUUUUACAUAGUCAAUCGAUUAAUUCAGCCAUAAUUGUUUUUAAAGGAAGUUGUAAUUGUUGAUUUCUGGUGAAUAAUUUCAUUUGUAAUAUCAUAAGAAUACAGUUGGAAGACA
Long non-coding RNA from Theobroma umbraticum, 615 nucleotides. RefSeq lists it as uncharacterized. The record is from RefSeq and is a predicted model, not a curated record. Lineage: Eukaryota; Viridiplantae; Streptophyta; Magnoliopsida; Malvales; Malvaceae.